CGANCCCAGGUCAGGCGGGACUACCCGCUGAAUUUAAGCAUAUCAAUAAGC
Molecule: ribosomal RNA, 51 nt
Filed under: Convolvulus canariensis
Lineage: Eukaryota; Viridiplantae; Streptophyta; Magnoliopsida; Solanales; Convolvulaceae
Description: partial 26S ribosomal RNA
Source: RNAcentral